AGAGUUUGAUCCUGGCUCAGAGCGAACGCUGGCGGCGUGCUUAACACAUGCAAGUCGAGUGCGCGGUUGUAGCAAUACAACUGGCGCACGGCGCACGGGUGCGUAACACGUGGGCAAUCUGCCCUCCGAUGGGGAAUAACCCCGCGAAAGCGGGGCUAAUACCGCAUAACAUUCCUUGGACCACGGUUCGAGGACUCAAA
This 200-nucleotide ribosomal RNA is filed under the name uncultured bacterium. RNAcentral's name for it is "partial 16S ribosomal RNA". It matches the Rfam family "Bacterial small subunit ribosomal RNA", at positions 8 to 205 of the family's 1533-position model. The record is from RNAcentral.